CCUACGGGCGGCUGCAGUGGGGAAUAUUGGACAAUGGGGGCAACCCUGAUCCAGCCAUGCCGCGUGUGUGAAGAAGGCCCUCGGGUUGUAAAGCACUUUCAGUGAGGAAGAACGCUUGGUGGUUAAUACCCAUCAGGUAAGACAUCACUCACAGAAGAAGCACCGGCUAACUCCGUGCCAGCAGCCGCGGUAAUACGGAGGGUGCGAGCGUUAAUCGGAAUUACUGGGCGUAAAGCGCGCGUAGGUGGCUUGAUAAGCCGGUUGUGAAAGCCCCGGGCUCAACCUGGGAACGGCAUCCGGAACUGUCAAGCUAGAGUGCAGGAGAGGAAGGUAGAAUUCCCGGUGUAGCGGUGAAAUGCGUAGAGAUCGGGAGGAAUACCGGGGGCGAAGGCGGCCUUCUGGACUGACACUGACACUGAGGUGCGAAAGCGUGGGUAGCAAACAGGAUUAGAUACCCCUGUAGUC
Molecule: ribosomal RNA, 465 nt
Filed under: Vreelandella stevensii
Lineage: Bacteria; Pseudomonadati; Pseudomonadota; Gammaproteobacteria; Oceanospirillales; Halomonadaceae
Description: partial 16S ribosomal RNA
Rfam family: Bacterial small subunit ribosomal RNA
Source: RNAcentral